CCCACAGAGGCCAAGUUUGACGCAGUCUUCCACCCGAACUUACGCACGUUUGGACUGAAGGGUUUAGCCACGAGAUCGUCUGUUGCGAUUCCUGUCCCCAUCCGCAACAAGAAACCAGGAUUGUUCUCCAGUCUCUGGCACCAUUUUAUCAUGUGAAGCUGUACAUGUUCGGUCGGCGGGGAAACCAUCGAACCCUUAAAAGCGCCAGCAGCAGGUGAGGACCAACAUAUGGGACGAGCUGAAGGAGGACAACAACUCCAGCAGCUGUUUGUUGUAGCCGAGCCA
Molecule: long non-coding RNA, 285 nt
Organism: Esox lucius (northern pike)
Lineage: Eukaryota; Metazoa; Chordata; Actinopteri; Esociformes; Esocidae
Exons: 3
Source: RefSeq, a predicted model, not a curated record